AUUGAACGCUGGCGGCAGGCCUAACACAUGCAAGUCGAACGGGUGGCGGACGGGUGAGUAAUGUCUGGGAAACUGCCUGAUGGAGGGGGCUAACUACUGGAAACGGUAGCUAAUACCGCAUACCAUCAGAUGUGCCCAGAUGGGAUUAGAUAGUUGGUGGGGUAACGGCUCACCAAGGCGACGAUCCCUAGCUGGUCUGAGAGGAGGACCCGCCACACUGUAACGGAGACACGGUCCAGACUCCUACGGGAGGCAGCAUGGGGGAAUAUUGGACAAUGGGCGCAAGCCUGAUGCAGCCAGGCCGCGUGUAUGAAGAAGGCCUUCGGUUUGUAAAGUACUUUCAUCGGGGAGGCGUUACCCGCAGAAGAAGCACCGGCUAACUCCGUGCCAGCAGCCGCGGUAAUUC
This 406-nucleotide ribosomal RNA is filed under the name uncultured bacterium. Its description in RNAcentral is "partial 16S ribosomal RNA". It matches the Rfam family "Bacterial small subunit ribosomal RNA", at positions 30 to 526 of the family's 1533-position model. The record is from RNAcentral.